CCUACGGGCGGCUGCAGUGGGGAAUUUUGGACAAUGGGCGCAAGCCUGAUCCAGCAAUGCCGCGUGAGUGAAGAAGGCCUUCGGGUUGUAAAGCUCUUUCAGUCGAGAAGAAAAGAUUACUGAUAAUACCAGUAAUCCAUGACGGUAUCGACAGAAGAAGCACCGGCUAACUACGUGCCAGCAGCCGCGGUAAUACGUAGGGUGCGAGCGUUAAUCGGAAUUACUGGGCGUAAAGGGUGCGCAGGCGGUUAUGUAAGUCAGAUGUGAAAUCCCCGGGCUUAACCUGGGAACUGCGUUUGAAACUACAGGACUAGAGUGUGGCAGAGGGGGGUGGAAUUCCAUGUGUAGCAGUGAAAUGCGUAGAGAUAUGGAAGAACAUCGAUGGCGAAGGCAGCCCCCUGGGUUAACACUGACGCUCAUGCACGAAAGCGUGGGGAGCAAACAGGAUUAGAUACCCGAGUAGUC
RNAcentral lists this ribosomal RNA (465 nucleotides) under uncultured beta proteobacterium. RNAcentral describes it as "bacterial SSU rRNA". It matches the Rfam family "Bacterial small subunit ribosomal RNA", at positions 338 to 795 of the family's 1533-position model. Lineage: Bacteria; Pseudomonadati; Pseudomonadota; Betaproteobacteria. The record is from RNAcentral.